CGUCUGAGGCGCGUCGGGAACAAACAAAGUGAGUAGGAUACUUCGCAUCCGCACGGGUCUCGGGAAUCAGCGAAAGGACCUUUCCACUUCUCGAGAAGGAAUCCCAACCGUCGCACGCCAAAAGAAGAUGAAACGACAGAGGAAUUCGAAUCGCCAAAAACUUUAAAGGGACCGAACUGUUCAAAGUAAACGGCUCGGCCUAAAUGUCAUAAAGCUCAUCACGCUUGGUUCUCCAAACU
Molecule: long non-coding RNA, 239 nt
Filed under: Arabidopsis lyrata
Lineage: Eukaryota; Viridiplantae; Streptophyta; Magnoliopsida; Brassicales; Brassicaceae
Description: long non-coding RNA (ALYR_LNC001972)
Source: RNAcentral